GCAAAACGCGAAGAACCUUACCAGGUCUUGACAUCCCACUGACCGGCCUAGAGAUAGGUCUUUCCCUUCGGGGACAGUGGUGACAGGUGGUGCAUGGUUGUCGUCAGCUCGUGUCGUGAGAUGUUGGGUUAAGUCCCGCAACGAGCGCAACCCUUGAUCUUAGUUGCCAGCAUUCAGUUGGGCACUCUAAGGUGACUGCCGGUGACAAACCGGAGGAAGGUGGGGAUGACGUCAAAUCAUCAUGCCCCUUAUGACCUGGGCUACACACGUGCUACAAUGGACGAUACAAAGGGCUGCAAACCCGCGAGGGGGAGCCAAUCCCAUAAAAUCGUUCUCAGUUCGGAUUGUAGGCUGCAACUCGCCUACAUGAAGCCGGAAUCGCUAGUAAUCGCGGAUCAGCAUGCCGCGGUGAAUACG
Molecule: ribosomal RNA, 417 nt
Filed under: uncultured bacterium
Lineage: Bacteria
Description: bacterial SSU rRNA
Rfam family: Bacterial small subunit ribosomal RNA
Source: RNAcentral